AAUAAAAAGGAUUCAAAGAUAUUAAUUAGAUAUCUACCAAAUAAAAAGAGAUUUUGCUGGGAUGGGAUGCAUAGAUCGCAGAGUCGUAGAUUUCUAGCCCAAGGUUUUGUAUCCGUUCUGUUUCUAUUUUCUAGCCCGUCUCAUCAAUCUUCUCUCUCAACUCUCAAGACUAGUUUCUACACCGUUCACAAACGACUAGUAUUUGGUGUAUAUAAAUAUACAGAUUGUUUAUGUUUAUGUUACAACACAAUCUUGCAACUGAAACAAAAAAAUCUAUCUUGACCUCGAAUUAUUUCGAAUUUGUAUUCUGUUUUCAUUCUUCUAAAUUUCGAUUGCUGGGUUCGGUUGUUGAGUUCAAUUGUUGGGUUCGCUUGUUGGGUUCGAUUGCUGGGUUCGAUUGCCAAGUUCGAUUGUUGAGUUCGAUUGUUGGGUUCGUUCGAAAUCCGAUUGCUGCUGGUGUUGCUUGUUUGAAUUUUGGAUUGCUGCUAUUGUUGCUUGUUCAACGACUUCUGUUUCUGCAGUUUGGUUCAACGGUGCAGGUGCAAGGACGAUUACGGAUAGAAGGACUCGAUUAAAUCCAAAGUCCAUCAAAUGUUGCAUGCUCUUGAAGAAUUGGUUGGAUGAAGAAUAUCGAUUGAAAAACUUGAAGAGAUUAGAGAGAUAUAAGAUAGCCGAAAUGAAUGAAGAUGAAGAUAGUGAAGACGGUGAACCGGAUAUAGAAAUUAGAGCACAAGGCGACGAAAAUGAACCGGAUAUUGAGAGAUUCUAUUUUCCAACUAUGGAUUAUACCUAUUCAAGUUCUCAAGAUCCAGAUUUUACUUAUGAAUGGCAACACAUUCCGGAUUAAGUAUUUUUCAUGUAUUUUUUUUUUUACUUUGAUGAACAUUCAGAUUUUAGGAAUUUAGUGUUUUUUGGCACAUACUUUUAAUGCUUCUGUGAAUGAAGUUUUCAAAUAUGUAAGGAAUUUAUGUUGAAUAAUAUAUUGAGUUAGAGCCCA
Molecule: RNA transcript, 997 nt
Organism: Salvia miltiorrhiza (redroot sage)
Lineage: Eukaryota; Viridiplantae; Streptophyta; Magnoliopsida; Lamiales; Lamiaceae
Exons: 2
Source: RefSeq, a predicted model, not a curated record